AAGUUUUAGUCUGUACUUACUGAAAAAUUGCUAGUGCUUUUUAUGUAGCCUGUUGUAAAACUAGGCAAAUAUCUAGAUGAGUUGAUGUACCCCCUGGAAGGCCUCUGUGUACCCCUAGUUUAGAACCAC
Molecule: long non-coding RNA, 129 nt
Organism: Dermochelys coriacea (leatherback sea turtle)
Lineage: Eukaryota; Metazoa; Chordata; Testudines; Dermochelyidae
Exons: 3
Source: RefSeq, a predicted model, not a curated record